GACGAACGCUGGCGGCGUGCUUAGCACAUGCAAGUCGAACGGAAAGGCCUGCUUUCCCUUGUGGUUUGCGGGUACUCGAGUGGCGAACGGGUGAGUAACACGUGAGUGAUCUGCCCCCAACUUGGGUAUAAGCCUGGGAAACUGUGUCUAAUUCCCGAUAGGACUGCAGGGUGGUGCCGGUGGUGGAAAACGAUCUUCUAGUGGUUGGGGAUGAGCUCGCGGCCUAUCAGCUUGUUGGUGGGGUAAUGGCCUACCAAGGCGGGGACGGGUAGCCGGCCUGGGAGGGGGCACAGCGGAAUUGGGACUGAGAUACGACCCAGACGGCAAGGAGAAGCAGGGAAGGGGGAUAAUGGAGAGUAAGCCGAAGCCAGAUGCAGCGAGGGCGCGUGGGAGGUGUCGGGGUUGGAGAUGUAAACUCCUUUCGAACAAGAGGAGGCCACCUGGUUGGAAGGGUGGUGACGGUAGUGAAAGAAGAAGCACCGGCUAACUACGUG
RNAcentral lists this ribosomal RNA (494 nucleotides) under uncultured bacterium. RNAcentral describes it as "partial 16S ribosomal RNA". It matches the Rfam family "Bacterial small subunit ribosomal RNA", at positions 28 to 507 of the family's 1533-position model. The record is from RNAcentral.